This 357-nucleotide ribosomal RNA is filed under the name Clostridioides difficile. RNAcentral describes it as "bacterial LSU rRNA". It matches the Rfam family "Bacterial large subunit ribosomal RNA", at positions 1855 to 2211 of the family's 2925-position model. The record is from RNAcentral. Lineage: Bacteria; Bacillati; Bacillota; Clostridia; Peptostreptococcales; Peptostreptococcaceae.
ACGCCUGCCCGGUGCUGGAAGGUUAAGGGGAUCUGUUAGAGCAAUCGAAGCAGUGAACUUAAGCCCCAGGACACGCCGGCCGUAACUCGAACGGUCCUAAGGUGGCGAGAGUCGUGGUCGGGUAAGUGGCGACCCGCACGAAGGGCGUAACGAUGUGGGCACUGUGGCAACAACAGACGCGGUGAAAUUGUAAUUCCGGGGAAGAUGCCGGGUACCUGCGACGGGACGGAAAGACCCCAUGGGGCUUUACUGUAGCUUGACAUUGGGUCUUGGUACUACAUGUACAGGAUAGGUGGGAGGCUUUGAAGCCAGGACGCCAGUUUUGGCGGAGCCAUCCUUGGGAUACCACCCUUGUAG